This 253-nucleotide ribosomal RNA is filed under the name uncultured bacterium. RNAcentral's name for it is "partial 16S ribosomal RNA". It matches the Rfam family "Bacterial small subunit ribosomal RNA", at positions 524 to 776 of the family's 1533-position model. The record is from RNAcentral.
UACGUAGGGCGCAAGCGUUAUCCGGAAUUAUUGGGCGUAAAGAGCUCGUAGGCGGUUUGUCGCGUCUGCUGUGAAAGACCGGGGCUCAACUCCGGUUCUGCAGUGGGUACGGGCAGACUAGAGUGCAGUAGGGGAGACUGGAAUUCCUGGUGUAGAGGUGAAAUGCGCAGAUAUCAGGAGGAACACCGAUGGCGAAGGCAGGUCUCUGGGCUGUAACUGACGCUGAGGAGCGAAAGCAUGGGGAGCGAACAGG